Molecule: ribosomal RNA, 746 nt
Filed under: bacterium 169_xplvp344
Lineage: Bacteria
Also listed under: 1 other name
Description: bacterial SSU rRNA
Rfam family: Bacterial small subunit ribosomal RNA
Source: RNAcentral
UACACAUGCAGUCGAACGAUGAUCCGGAGCUUGCUNNCGGGGAUUAGUGGCGAACGGGUGAGUAACACGUGAGUAACCUGCCCUUGACUCUGGGAUAAGCGCUGGAAACGGCGUCUAAUACCGGAUACGACCUGCCCCGGCAUCGGGUGCGGGUGGAAAGUUUUUCGGUCAAGGAUGGACUCGCGGCCUAUCAGCUUGUUGGUGAGGUAAUGGCUCACCAAGGCGACGACGGGUAGCCGGCCUGAGAGGGUGACCGGCCACACUGGGACUGAGACACGGCCCAGACUCCUACGGGAGGCAGCAGUGGGGAAUAUUGCACAAUGGGCGAAAGCCUGAUGCAGCAACGCCGCGUGAGGGAUGACGGCCUUCGGGUUGUAAACCUCUUUUAGUAGGGAAGAAGGGCCUUNGGGUUUGACGGUACCUGCAGAAAAAGCACCGGCUAACUACGUGCCAGCAGCCGCGGUAAUACGUAGGGUGCAAGCGUUGUCCGGAAUUAUUGGGCGUAAAGAGCUCGUAGGCGGUUUGUCGCGUCUGCUGUGAAAACCCGAGGCUCAACCUCGGGCCUGCAGUGGGUACGGGCAGACUAGAGUGCGGUAGGGGAGAAUGGAAUUCCUGGUGUAGCGGUGGAAUGCGCAGAUAUCAGGAGGAACACCGAUGGCGAAGGCAGUUCUCUGGGCCGUAACUGACGCUGAGGAGCGAAAGCGUGGGGAGCGAACAGGAUUAGAUACCCUGGUAGUCCACGCCGU